UUUCUCUCGGGUAUAACUGGUCGCUUCCAUAGGUUGCUGAUAUUAAUGUCAGAUGGAGGUGGAGACAUGGGCCUCUCCAGGUUAUCAUCAUAGCUGAGAGCUCGACGGGUCAUCCCAGCUGGGAUAGACAUCCCUCCGAGGAGACCCUCUGAAGAACCUGGACCUGCUUCCAGGGCUGAGGUUUGAGGAUGCGUCUCUUUGGAAUAAGCGCAUGUUUGUGCUGUACAAAAGAACUGAGAAUCUGGACAGUCAGAGGAGCCUCUUGACCUUUUGAGUUACAGGGGCUGAUGAACUCAUGUAAGAAACCCCAGUAAACCAUAAGUCUUGUGAUAACAAAAAAUCUGUGUGAUGGGACAGCAUUAAUGAACAAACCAGCAGACCCCCGACCACAUUGUAAAACAUCUGUAAUGCUGUUUUGGUCCACUGCACGUUCAUUGGAUUUCGUUUUCAUCUUCUGAGGCGAGUAAUUUAUUUUGAACAAAAAGGCCCACAGUGGCUUCUCCAACCACAGCAAAUUCCAUUUUUCUUUUUGAUGUUGGCUUCAGUUUAUCAGCAAUUGACAGUUUUGUUUUCUUUGACUCAUUGGAUGGAAACUACGAAGACCCGGAAGGGACGUGAUGGUGGAGAAAAAAAAAAUGGGUGGGAGAAAAAAAACAGAGCUAUAGGUUAACAUAUUGUUGAAAGUUUUUGCGUUCCCUCGCAAACAUGUUUUGCGUUAUCUUGCAAAUAUGUUGUUUGACAAAUACUUCACUUCAUACAUGAAAACCCUGUUUUUGC
This is a non-coding RNA of Danio rerio (zebrafish), 777 nucleotides long. The record is from Ensembl. NCBI's taxonomy places the organism in Eukaryota, Metazoa, Chordata, Actinopteri, Cypriniformes, Danionidae.